RNAcentral lists this long non-coding RNA (352 nucleotides) under Gadus morhua (Atlantic cod). Its description in RNAcentral is "lncRNA (ENSGMOG00000036769.1)". The record is from RNAcentral. Lineage: Eukaryota; Metazoa; Chordata; Actinopteri; Gadiformes; Gadidae.
CUCCCCGCGAUUUAUAUUGAUUGAGUCUACAACGUUCUCAAAGAUUCAGCCAAUGAGAGGUAGCAAUGGUGUUGCAAUGGCACCUGGGUAAACAAAUGACAAGGCGGUACCGUCGAAUAUGCGCGCUUUCUCUGUCUGACGUAUCUUGGGUCAUACCAUUCGACGUGGGGCCACUCAUAUAUCCCCCUACAUUUUUUCGAAAAUAGCCUAGACUGUCUGUUUAUUGGAUAAGCGCAUUUCCCAAUCCCAGGAGUCUUUGCUCCAUUCUACGUCAAUUUAAGAACAAACAAAGAAAUUAAACUGCAGUUCGUAUUUUUUAUUUAUGACCAUGAAAGUUCUGUAAUGCCUGAAU